RNAcentral lists this long non-coding RNA (868 nucleotides) under Ananas comosus (pineapple). RNAcentral describes it as "long non-coding RNA (ACOM_LNC004830)". The record is from RNAcentral. Lineage: Eukaryota; Viridiplantae; Streptophyta; Magnoliopsida; Poales; Bromeliaceae.
AGAGUUGAGCUAGAAUACUAUUGAUAGCAAACGGGCUCCGUUGUCACCCAUUUGUUUUUGAUGAUAGAGCCUCCAAAUCAACGAUCAGCACCGUUGAACAUGAUCUAUACAACUUAAAGUGUUUAGAAAUCAAAUUUUAAAUCUUUUCGACAUCAUUUGCCUAAUGAUCAAAGGGUUUCAAAAUUUGUAAUUUUAAUAGUCAAUAUGAAGAGUUUUCUCGUUUAAUGGCGUAAAGAUAUCCAAAUCAAUUGAAUUUUUGUUAGAAAAUUAUUUAAACUAUUUAUAACAAGAUCUAUAUUCUUGAUCUUGAUUACAAAACUCCUAUCAUCAUUUUUUAAAGAAUAUUCAUUUUAAGCCGUUUAUUUUUGUGUCCACUCGAUGGAUAAGAGAACAAUAUUGAAAAUGUAUGAAAAUUGAUUUCUAAGUACUUCAAGUAGUAUAGAUCAUGUUCAACGGUACCGAUCAUCGAUUCGGAGGCUCCAUCAUCGAAAACAAAUGGGUGGCAAUAGAGUCCAUUUGCUAUCGGUCAUCGUCCGCGAUGCCCCUCUCUCUCUCUCUCUCUCUCUCUCUCUCUCUCUCUAUAUAUAUAUAUAUAUUUGAAUUUAUACUUUAAAAAUUUUAGAUUUUAAUAAUAUGUUUUGAAAUACAGGUUUGGAUUUGGGUUUUAGAUUUUUUGUUAGAUUCGGUUUGAAUAUGAAUUUUCAAAAUCCAUCAGAUUCAGAUUCGGGUUUCGAAUUUUUUGUCACGUUUGGUUUUGAAUAUAGAUUUUCAAGAUUCGUCAGAUUCCGAUUCAAAUUCAAGUUUCAAAUUUGAUUGUCAGAUUUGGAUUCGAAUUUUUAAAAAUUUGCUUCGAAUCCGACCGGUUGAC